AUUGAACGCUGGCGGCAUGCCUUACACAUGCAAGUCGAGCGGCAGCGCGGGGGCAACCCUGGCGGCGAGCGGCGAACGGGUGAGUAAUGCAUCGGAACGUGUCCUUUUGUGGGGGAUAACCAGUCGAAAGACUGGCUAAUACCGCAUGAGCUCGAGAGAGGAAAGCAGGGGACCGCAAGGCCUUGCGCGAGAGGAGCGGCCGAUGCCCGAUUAGCUAGUUGGGAGGUAAUAGCUCACCAAGGCGACGAUCGGUAGCUGGUUUGAGAGAACGACCAGCCACACUGGGACUGAGACACGGCCCAGACUCCUACGGGAGGCAGCAGUGGGGAAUUUUGGACAAUGGGGGGCAACCCUGAUCCAGCCAUGCCGCGUGUGUGAAGAAGGCCUCGGUU
RNAcentral lists this ribosomal RNA (392 nucleotides) under uncultured bacterium. RNAcentral's name for it is "bacterial SSU rRNA". It matches the Rfam family "Bacterial small subunit ribosomal RNA", at positions 29 to 424 of the family's 1533-position model. The record is from RNAcentral.